GAUGAACGCUGGCGGCGUGCCUAAGACAUGCAAGUCGAACGGUAAGGCCCUUCGGGGUACACGAGUGGCGAACGGGUGAGUAACACGUGGGUGAUCUGCCCUGCACUUCGGGAUAAGCCUGGGAAACUGGGUCUAAUACCGGAUAGGACUCCGGACUGCAUGGUCUGGGGUGGCAAGCUUUUGCGGUGUGGGAUGGGCUCGCGGCCUAUCGGCUUGUGGGUGGGGUGAUGGCCUACCAAGGCGACGACGGGUAGCCGGCCUGAGAGGGUGACCGGCCACACUGGGACUGAGAUACGGCCCAAACUCCUACGGGAGGCACCAGUGGGGAAUAUUGCACAAUGGGCGCAAGCCUGAUGCAGCGACGCCGCGUGAGGGAUGACGGCCUUCGGGUUGUAAACCUCUUUCAGCAUCGACGAAGCGAAAGUGACGGUAGGUGCAGAAGAAGGACCGGCCAACUACGUGCCAGCCGCCGCCGUAA
RNAcentral lists this ribosomal RNA (478 nucleotides) under uncultured bacterium. RNAcentral describes it as "partial 16S ribosomal RNA". It matches the Rfam family "Bacterial small subunit ribosomal RNA", at positions 28 to 523 of the family's 1533-position model. The record is from RNAcentral.